This 375-nucleotide ribosomal RNA is filed under the name uncultured soil bacterium. Its description in RNAcentral is "bacterial SSU rRNA". It matches the Rfam family "Bacterial small subunit ribosomal RNA", at positions 26 to 394 of the family's 1533-position model. The record is from RNAcentral.
AGAGUGAACGCUGGCGGCGGGCCUAACACAUGCAAGUCGAACGGCAGCACGAGAGAGCUUGCUCUCUUGGUGGCGAGUGGCGGACGGGUGAGGAAUACGUCGGAAUCUGCCUUUUUGUGGGGGAUAACGUAGGGUAACUUACGCUAAUACCGCAUACGACCUACGGGUGAAAGCGGAGGACCUUCGGGCUUCGCGCAGAAAGAUGAGCCGACGUCGGAUUAGCUAGUUGGAGGGGUAAUGGCCCACCAAGGCGACGAUCCGUAGCUGGUCUGAGAGGAUGAUCAGCCACACUGGGACUGAGACACGGCCCAGACUCCGUACGGGAGCAGCAGUGGGGAAUAUUGGACAAGUGGGCGCAAAGCCUGACUCCACGCA